Molecule: long non-coding RNA, 1040 nt
Filed under: Gossypium barbadense (sea-island cotton)
Lineage: Eukaryota; Viridiplantae; Streptophyta; Magnoliopsida; Malvales; Malvaceae
Description: long non-coding RNA (GBAR_LNC013715)
Source: RNAcentral
AAAAACACAUAUAUAGUAACUUUUUUCUGCUUAUUAGUUUUCACGCCUUUUUAUUCUAUCAUUUGCUUUUUAUGUUGGAUUAUCAAAGGCAUUUAUAAAUCAUUGAAAAUAUUAAUUUUAGAUUAUUUAACUAUUUUCAAUCGGUUAUCUAAACAAGGAUCAUGUUACUUCGAUAAUAACCAAUUAAAAUUUUUUAUACAAGUGAAUAAGUACAUUGCAAUAGGGAAAGGAGGAAAUGAUUUAAAAAUAUAGAGAUUGAACCUUGAACCUCAUGUCAAUAAACUUAAAAUCCGCACAAAUUUAUCGCUGAGCAAGUGGAACAUCCACACUAACCAAUUAGUUGCUAUAUUAAAUCGAUUGCUGAAUAGAAUAGCCAAAAUAGAAGCUCAACUAAAUAUGCACAAUAUCAACACCUAAUUUGUUUGUAAAUUGAAUCACAAUGAUCAACAUUAUAGUAGUUUGUUUUCAAAGGUGGCCUUUCUAGAACCUGCAAUUUCAUUGAAACAUCACCAGAAACUUAAAGAGAACAAAGACAGAGUAAUAGUUAUUACAGGCACUUGCUUAGCUGCAGGUUUCUUGUUGUUCCUUACUGGAGUUUGGUGACUUUAUAGGAAACUACAUAAAAGAAGAAAAAUAAAACGCAAGCAAGAAUAACCUAACGUGUUGAUCCAAUCGAGCAUAAUGGCCAGAGUUCACUAAUUUUGUCAAAAACUAUUAAUAGAUCUCUAUUGUUCCUAUUUAUUUUAGCAUAAUAGAAAAAAAUCUCACCUAUAAAAUCAAUUGCAUAAGACACGUCGAAAAAACAAAGCAAAGCAGCAAGGGUUACAGAGAGAUGUGAAGAGGCAGUAAAGCAGUUGCCAGAAAAAAUAAUAGCAGCAAGGGUUGCAAAGAGACGUGAAGAGGCAACAAAGCAGUUGCCAAAAAAAAAUAAUAGCAGCAAGGCAGAGACGUGAAGAUUCAAUUUUAAUUAAGGUUGAGUAAUUUUUAAUUGGGAUUUUAGGGAUUUAUGAUUAAAAAUCUCUACUGUUCCUAUCUAUUUU